AUGACGAUGAGGAAGCGCCCCUCGUCCUCUCUUCUCAUAUCACCGCUGCUGUUUAUGCUUCUUCCAGCAUUUGCUCUUGCUGCGGGGAGGCACAACCUGAUCACUAGAGACCCUCAGUACGGCCCACAGGUGAACCCAAAUCUAGAACCACUGCCAGGAAAACAGCCAGAUCCAAACCCUCAACCAUUACCAGACCCACAACCAUUUCCAGGACCACGACCAGACCCAAAGCCGCAACCGCUACCCGAGCCUAAACCUCAUACAAACCCACAACCACUGCCAGAGCCACAACCUGAUCCAAACGCUCAACCAUUACCAGGACCACACCCUGACCCAAAUCCACAACCAUUGCCAGGCCAAAACCUGCAAUGGUUGAUGCCAGACCCACAGCCAAACCCAAACCCUCAGCCAUUACCAGGACCGCAGCCUGAUCCAAAUCCACACCCAUUACCAGACCCAAACCCGAAACCAUUGCCGAACCCACAGCCAAACCCAAACCCUCAGCCAUUACCAGGACCACAACCUAAUCCAAACCCACAACCAUUACCAGACCCAAACCCGAAGCCAUUACCUGGACCGCAACCUGAUCCAAACCCAGAACCAUUACCAGAUCCAAAUCCACAACCACUGCCAGGCCCACUACCUGACCCAAAUGCACAACCAAAACCACCACUUAGGACACAAGCAGAAAAAGGAAAUGGGGAAGCAAACGUCCAAGAGGAACCGUUGGCAUGA
RNAcentral lists this ribosomal RNA (735 nucleotides) under Triticum aestivum (bread wheat). RNAcentral's name for it is "partial small subunit ribosomal RNA". The record is from RNAcentral. Lineage: Eukaryota; Viridiplantae; Streptophyta; Magnoliopsida; Poales; Poaceae.